This 48-nucleotide ribosomal RNA is filed under the name Dendrobium thyrsiflorum. Its description in RNAcentral is "partial 26S ribosomal RNA". Lineage: Eukaryota; Viridiplantae; Streptophyta; Magnoliopsida; Asparagales; Orchidaceae. RNAcentral also lists the same sequence under 4 other names. The record is from RNAcentral.
GCGACCCCAGGAUGGGCGAGGCCACCCGCCGAGUUUAAGCAUAUCAUA